GUUGAAAUCAGCUGUAUUAGGCCAUUCUUGCAUUGCUAUAAAGAAAUACCUGAGACUGGGUAAUUUAUAAAGGAAAGAGAUUUAAUUGGCUCAUAUUCCUGCAGGCUAUACAGGAGGCAUGGUGCUGGCAUCUGCUUGGCUUCUGGUGAAUCCUCAGGGAGCUUUUAUUCAUGGUGGAAGGUGAAGUGGGAGCUGGCACUUCACACGGCAAAAGCAAGAGCAAGAGAGAGAGAGUGAAGCUGUUGAUAUCGAUGGAAUUCCUGACCAGUAACAUUUCCAUGAAGAUCAUUACAAUUUAUUUCUUGAAAUUCUGGGAAGGCAUGGAAACAUCACAUUGCAGCAGAUGCUGGGGAUGCAGCAAUGAACAAGACAGGCCAGAUCCCUACUCUCAGAUAAACACAAUGAUCCAGGUCAGUAGGCAUUUGGUAGGAAUCUGCAUCAAACUGUUGGGCAAUGGUAGACAGCAACAUUGACGUCUGUAAAUUUACACUUGGAUUCUUAGUUUCUGGUUGGCUGCAUCCUUCUUCUGAAGGCCACUGCUCUUUUCAGAAGACCUCCCUAGAUGGCUAAGCUCUCUGGGUUGCAACAGUUGCUCUUUUUCCUUGAGCCUUAGGUUAGGGAGUUGGGAGGAAGUAAUGGCUUCCCCCACUGCUAGCUCCAGGGUGCUACACUUUCUCUUUUCUAGUUUCCCUAAUCUGGCUUACACCAUUAUAGAUAGACCCUUUAUUAAAAUAUCCUCAAUUUAUCCAUAU
RNAcentral lists this long non-coding RNA (752 nucleotides) under Homo sapiens (human). Its description in RNAcentral is "HSALNT0046465". The record is from RNAcentral. Lineage: Eukaryota; Metazoa; Chordata; Mammalia; Primates; Hominidae.